AGAGCGAACGCUGGCGGCAGGCCUAACACAUGCAAGUCGAGCGGCCGUAGCAAUACGGCAGCGGCAGACGGGAUAGUAACACGUGGGAACGCGCCCCUCGGUUCGGAAUAACUCAGGGAAACUUGAGCUAAUACCGGAUACGCCCUUACGGGGAAAGAUUUAUUGCCGAAGGAACGGCCCGCGUCCGAUUAGCUAGUUGGUGAGGUAAUGGCUCACCAAGGCUCCGAUCGGUAGCUGGUCUGAGAGGAUGACCAGCAUCACUGGGACUGAGACACGGCCCAGACUCCUACGGGAGGCAGCAGUGGGGAAUAUUGGACAAUGGGCGCAAGCCUGAUCCAGCCAUGCCGCGUGGAUGAUGAAGGCCUUAGGGUUGUAAAGUCCUUUUAACGGGGAAGAUAAUGACGGUACCCGUAGAAUAAGCCCGGCUAACUUCGCGCCAGCAGCCGC
This 447-nucleotide ribosomal RNA is filed under the name uncultured bacterium. RNAcentral describes it as "SSU rRNA". It matches the Rfam family "Bacterial small subunit ribosomal RNA", at positions 26 to 518 of the family's 1533-position model. The record is from RNAcentral.